Long non-coding RNA from Mesocricetus auratus (golden hamster), 438 nucleotides. RefSeq lists it as uncharacterized. NCBI's taxonomy places the organism in Eukaryota, Metazoa, Chordata, Mammalia, Rodentia, Cricetidae. The transcript has 2 exons. The record is from RefSeq and is a predicted model, not a curated record.
ACGCACCGGGGUGGGGGAGCGCUCGGCAACCACGAGGAGUGGGUGGAGGAAGGAGAGCUGUCUGUCCUGAGAAUGAGACCUUAGCUCCCCCAGAGAGAUGGCCCCAGGAAAGAUGGGCGUGGAGAACAGCGAGGCUCUAGGGGAGAGCUUGUACUCGGACGCUGUUUGUAUCUCUGUUCAUCUUUGGCACUCUAAAGGCGGCCGUAUGUGGAGUGGAGGGGCCCUUUGUCCCUACUUUGCUAGACAAGGGUUCCUGUGUCCCAGCCCUGCCUUCAACUCACUGUGUACCUCAAAAUGACGUUGAGCCCUACCUCUAACUCCCAACUUUUUUAUUGGUGCAAGAAGUGGAACUUGGGGCCUUCUCGCUUGCUUGGCAAGUGCUCUACCACCGAGCUACACGCCCAGCUCCUUGACUGGAAAUAAAGACUAGAAAAUGGA